RNAcentral lists this ribosomal RNA (531 nucleotides) under uncultured bacterium. RNAcentral's name for it is "partial 16S ribosomal RNA". It matches the Rfam family "Bacterial small subunit ribosomal RNA", at positions 355 to 874 of the family's 1533-position model. The record is from RNAcentral.
UGGGGAAUAUUGCACAAUGGGCGCAAGCCUGAUGCAGCCAUGCCGCGUGUGUGAAGAAGGCCUUCGGGUUGUAAAGCACUUUCAGCGAGGAGGAAGGUGGUGAGCCUAAUACGCUCAUCAAUUGACGUUACUCGCAGAAGAAGCACCGGCUAACUCCGUGCCAGCAGCCGCGGUAAUACGGAGGGUGCAAGCGUUAAUCGGAAUUACUGGGCGUAAAGCGCACGCAGGCGGUUUGUUAAGUCAGAUGUGAAAUCCCCGGGCUCAACCUGGGAACUGCAUUUGAAACUGGCAAGCUAGAGUCUCGUAGAGGGGGGUAGAAUUCCAGGUGUAGCGGUGAAAUGCGUAGAGAUCUGGAGGAAUACCGGUGGCGAAGGCGGCCCCCUGGACGAAGACUGACGCUCAGGUGCGAAAGCGUGGGGCAGCAAACAGGAUUAGAUACCCUGGUAGUCCACGCUGUAAAACGAUGUCGAUUUUGGAGGUUGUGCCCCUUGAGGCGUGGCUUCCGGAGCUAACGCGUUAAAUCGACCGCCU